RNAcentral lists this unclassified non-coding RNA (373 nucleotides) under uncultured Actinomycetes bacterium. RNAcentral describes it as "uncultured actinobacterium contains 16S-23S intergenic spacer region". Lineage: Bacteria; Bacillati; Actinomycetota; Actinomycetes. The record is from RNAcentral.
UCCGAGUUAACCCCGGCAGUCUCCCGCGAGUCCCCAACACUACUUGCUGGCAACACGGGAUAAGGGUUGCGCUCGUUGCGGGACUUAACCCAACAUCUCACGACACGAGCUGACGACAGUCAUGCACCACCUGUGCACGGCCCUUGCGGACCCGACAUCUCUGCCGGAUUUCCGUGCAUGUCAAGCCCAGGUAAGGUUCUUCGCGUUGCAUCGAAUUAAUCCGCAUGCUCCGCCGCUUGUGCGGGCCCCCGUCAAUUCCUUUGAGUUUUAAUCUUGCGACCGUACUCCCCAGGCGGUGUGCUUAACGCUUUCGCUUGGCCGCUGCACCAUAUAGGCAUAACAGCGAGUGAUCAUCGUUUACGGCGCGGACUAC